RNAcentral lists this long non-coding RNA (355 nucleotides) under Mus musculus (house mouse). RNAcentral describes it as "long non-coding RNA chr15:36139687-36140042". Lineage: Eukaryota; Metazoa; Chordata; Mammalia; Rodentia; Muridae. The record is from RNAcentral.
AACUUUACCUACUAAUGUUUACUGCAACCAGGAGCUGCCCUGCACAUCACAACAAAGCCAUGGAGACAGCCGGCCUGCCCCCAUAGGGACAGCAAGGGUACGGAGAAACUACAUGAGGUCUUUUACAGAAGAAAGCUUUAGCCCGAAGAGAAUGUAAAAAAAAAGACCCGUUCUCGCCACUGUGUACUCACAAACUCUUCUUCUGUAACUUCUGGCGGCUCUGGAAGGAGACAAAACGUUACCUUUUCGUACUCAGAUCUUCCUUUUAGACUAACUGAAAUCAUCUGCGACAGCCCCUGGCGCUACUGUAUAUACAUAUAUCCCGGGUGAGCUCAGUAAAAUGUUCAUUAUCCGC